Molecule: transfer RNA, 58 nt
Filed under: Acanthobdella peledina
Lineage: Eukaryota; Metazoa; Annelida; Clitellata; Acanthobdellida
Description: tRNA-Ala
Source: RNAcentral
UGCACCUUAGUUUAAAUAGAACAGUUAAUUUGCACUUAACAAGAGAUUAUUCAGUAGC